Molecule: Y RNA, 102 nt
Filed under: Gorilla gorilla gorilla (western lowland gorilla)
Lineage: Eukaryota; Metazoa; Chordata; Mammalia; Primates; Hominidae
Description: Y RNA (ENSGGOG00000039119.1)
Rfam family: Y RNA
About the family: Y RNAs are components of the Ro ribonucleoprotein particle (Ro RNP), in association with Ro60 and La proteins. The Y RNAs and Ro60 and La proteins are well conserved, but the function of the Ro RNP is not known.
Source: Rfam by way of RNAcentral
GUCUGGUCCAAAUGCAGUGGUAUUUACAACUAAUUGAUCACAACCAGUUACAGAUUUCUUUGUUCCUUCUCCAUUUCCACUGCUUUACUUAACUAGCCUUAG